GACGAACGCUGGCGGCGUGCUUAACACAUGCAAGUCGAACGGAAAGGCCCUGCUUUUGUGGGGUGCUCGAGUGGCGAACGGGUGAGUAACACGUGAGUAACCUUCCCUUUACUUUGGGAUAACUUCAGGAAACUGGGGCUAAUACCGGAUAGGAGCUCCUGCUGCAUGGUGGGGGUUGGAAAGUUUCGGCGGUUGGGGAUGGACUCGCGGCUUAUCAGCUUGUUGGUGGGGUAGUGGCUUACCAAGGCUUUGACGGGUAGCCGGCCUGAGAGGGUGACCGGCAACAUUGGGACUGAGAUACGGCCCAGACUCCUACGGGAGGCAGCAGUGGGGAAUAUUGCACAAUGGGCGGAAGCCUGAUGCAGCAACGCCGCGUGCGGGAUGACGGCCUUCGGGUUGUAAACCGCUUUCGCCUGUGACGAAGCGUGAGUGACGGUAAUGGGUAAAGAAGCACCGGCUAACUACGUG
RNAcentral lists this ribosomal RNA (468 nucleotides) under uncultured bacterium. RNAcentral describes it as "partial 16S ribosomal RNA". It matches the Rfam family "Bacterial small subunit ribosomal RNA", at positions 28 to 507 of the family's 1533-position model. The record is from RNAcentral.